GUAGGUGAACCUGCGGAAGGAUCAUUAAACAUCAUCGGGGGGUUGGAUCCAGAAUGUAGGGCUUCGGCCUUGCUUUCUGCCCUUCCCUUACUGAUUAUACCCAUGUCUUUUGCGUACUAUUUGUUUCCUUGGUAGGCUUGCCUGCCGAUAGGACAUCAUUAAACCUUUUGUAAUUGCAGUCAGCGUCAGAAAAACAUAAUAAUUACAACUUUUAACAACGGAUCUCUUGGUUCUGGCAUCGAUGAAGAAC
RNAcentral lists this unclassified non-coding RNA (250 nucleotides) under plant metagenome. RNAcentral's name for it is "partial contains small subunit ribosomal RNA, internal transcribed spacer 1, and 5.8S ribosomal RNA". The stretch from base 207 to 250 matches the Rfam family "5.8S ribosomal RNA", at positions 1 to 44 of the family's 154-position model. The record is from RNAcentral.